AAGUCGUAACAAGGUUUCCGUAGGUGAACCUGCGGAAGGAUCAUUAAUGAAAUGAUAAUUUUUUGGGGAUUUCCCUAAAAAAUAAUUCACCAUUUGUGCAUUGUUAUUAGAUAUACUUUGGUUAGAGCUUUGAUUUCAUUUAUUGGAAUCAACUUCUUGCUAACUCUAUCCUGUUAAGGACAGUUGGCUAUGAAGCGGCCUACCAAGGUUUUUUUAUCAAACUCUUGUAUUUUGUCUGACCUAAACUAUUAUAAUUAAAUCAUAACUUUCAACAACGGAUCUCUUGGCUCUC
Molecule: unclassified non-coding RNA, 292 nt
Filed under: fungal sp.
Lineage: Eukaryota; Fungi
Description: partial internal transcribed spacer region
Rfam family: Eukaryotic small subunit ribosomal RNA (bases 1-46)
Source: RNAcentral